GUGCUUGCUUCAGCAGCACAUAUCUAAAAUUAGAAUACAGAGAUUAGCCUGACCCCUGUGCAAAGAUGACAUGCAAAUUUGUGAAACAUUCCCAAUUUUU
Molecule: small nuclear RNA, 100 nt
Filed under: Cercocebus atys (sooty mangabey)
Lineage: Eukaryota; Metazoa; Chordata; Mammalia; Primates; Cercopithecidae
Source: RNAcentral